Molecule: ribosomal RNA, 357 nt
Filed under: Triticum aestivum (bread wheat)
Lineage: Eukaryota; Viridiplantae; Streptophyta; Magnoliopsida; Poales; Poaceae
Description: partial small subunit ribosomal RNA
Source: RNAcentral
AUGGCCGGCGGGAAGGAGCCGAUCGAGGUGAAGUUCCGCCUGUUCGACGGCACGGACAUCGGGCCCAACAAGUACGACCCCGCCACCACCGUCACCGCGCUCAAGGAGUUCGUCCUCGCUCGGUGGCCGCAGGACAAAGACAUUAUUCCAAAAACUCUCAAUGACGUGAAGCUCAUCAAUGCUGGAAGGAUACUUGAGAAUAACAAAACCCUUGCUGAGUCUCGAGUCCCAGUAGGAGAAGUUCCAGGAGGUGUGAUCACAAUGCAUGUUGUUGUACGCCCUCCCCAAAGUGACAAAAGUGAUAAGCACCUCUCGAAUUCCCCCAAGCAGAACAGAUGUGGGUGCACGAUAUUGUGA